UACGUAGGGCGCAAGCGUUGUCCGGAAUUAUUGGGCGUAAAGAGCUCGUAGGCGGCUUGUCACGUCGGGUGUGAAAGCCCGGGGCUUAACCCCGGGUCUGCAUUCGAUACGGGCUGGCUAGAGUGUGGUAGGGGAGAUCGGAAUUCCUGGUGUAGCGGUGAAAUGCGUAGAGAUCGGGAGGAACACCAGCGGCGAAGGCGGCUAACUGGACAAGUACUGACACUCAACUGCGAAAGCGUGGGGAGCAAACAGG
This 253-nucleotide ribosomal RNA is filed under the name uncultured bacterium. RNAcentral describes it as "partial 16S ribosomal RNA". It matches the Rfam family "Bacterial small subunit ribosomal RNA", at positions 524 to 776 of the family's 1533-position model. The record is from RNAcentral.